RNAcentral lists this unclassified non-coding RNA (248 nucleotides) under Glomus sp. Its description in RNAcentral is "partial contains 5.8S ribosomal RNA and internal transcribed spacer 2". The stretch from base 1 to 65 matches the Rfam family "5.8S ribosomal RNA", at positions 84 to 154 of the family's 154-position model. Lineage: Eukaryota; Fungi; Glomeromycota; Glomeromycetes; Glomerales; Glomeraceae. The record is from RNAcentral.
GUGAAUCAUCGAAUUUUUGAACGCAAAUUGCACUCUCCUCGGAGAGUAUGCCUGUUUGAGGGUCAGCCUAUAAAAAAUCGACAGCGUUGCUGUUUCGCGGUGGCCUUCGUCAGGAAUUGUGUCAUCUUAAAUCCUUUUUUUUUAAGCGACUUAUAAUUUUCUUUUGGUUCCUUUAACUUUUCUAAGAUCUUUUUCUUUACACGUUUAUGGUAUCGAUUUUUACUAUACUUGACCAUCAUAUCUGAUCG